Molecule: non-coding RNA, 30 nt
Filed under: Rattus norvegicus (Norway rat)
Lineage: Eukaryota; Metazoa; Chordata; Mammalia; Rodentia; Muridae
Source: RNAcentral
UAGAACACGUUUUUCCACAUGUUUUCUUGC